This 176-nucleotide small RNA is filed under the name Betaproteobacteria bacterium UKL13-2. RNAcentral describes it as "Manganese Mn2+ riboswitch aptamer (yybP-ykoY)". It matches the Rfam family "Manganese Mn2+ riboswitch aptamer (yybP-ykoY)". From Rfam's summary of the family: This RNA was originally discovered in E. coli during a large scale screen and was named SraF. The family was later found to exist upstream of related families of protein genes in many bacteria, including the the yybP and ykoK genes in B. subtilis. Lineage: Bacteria; Pseudomonadati; Pseudomonadota; Betaproteobacteria. RNAcentral also lists the same sequence under 1 other name. The record is from Rfam by way of RNAcentral.
UGCCGCGUCAUCAGGGAGUAGCUUCACCCCGCAGUGGGUGGCUUGCAUCAACAGACUUGGCGCCCCGAGUUUUCAGGCGCUAUGGUGCAAGCGGCAUAUGCUUAGCGAGACUUUUGGCUGCGUGAAUCCAUCAUGCUGGUGGGGUUCAUGUGGUCAUCUGUCAUCCACCGGCUAGG